GACAGAGGUGCAAGCGUUAGGCGGAAUCACUGGGCUUAAAGCGUGUGUAGGCGGAUCGUUAAGUACCUUGUGAAAUCCCACGGCUCAACCGUGGAACUGCUGGGUAUACUGGCGAUCUUGAGCCACCUAGGGGCGAGCGGAACAAGCGGUGGAGCGGUGAAAUGCGUAGAUAUCGCUUGGAACGCCAACGGUGAAAACAGCUCGCUGGGGGUGUGCUGACGCUGAGACACGAAAGCCAGGGGAGCGAACGGG
Molecule: ribosomal RNA, 252 nt
Filed under: uncultured bacterium
Lineage: Bacteria
Description: partial 16S ribosomal RNA
Rfam family: Bacterial small subunit ribosomal RNA
Source: RNAcentral